GUUAUCCACCGGAACUCUUUAAAAGUAAUUAAUGUUGCAAAAGGCGAAAUUCCUACUUAGCCAAUAGUUUAGUAGAUUACAUGAUCCUUUAGAUUAUUCAUGACAUUACGUUAUCCAUGUACGUUAGGCUUAAAUAGGACUGUUCUGAAAAGCUUAGCGGUUAGGUUAAGAAGAGAAAGAAAGGAAUUAUGGCUUUGCAGUGCACCACCGUAAUUUUGUUAUUUUCGCUUGUACUCCUAUCCGUCCAAGUCCAAGGCUUAAGAAAAGAGGUCCUGCCAAAGAUGCACGAAGAAAUUAACUACGAGGGUACAAAACUGAAAUGUGACAUCUAUCAUACCACCGACGAUUCUGGCACGUGGUGUAACUGUCCAUUUCUGUUCUGCACCGGAAGCCAGGACUGUAGCAACUUAGGUGGAUUAAUGUGCGGAAUUAAAAACAAAAAUUACGAUUACAUGAACAUCAAGGAUGGAGAUUGUAAAUGCAAAUAUUUGGGAUAAUUUGGAAUCAUGUAAUAUCACUUAA
This is a long non-coding RNA of Pocillopora verrucosa, 522 nucleotides long. RefSeq lists it as uncharacterized. The record is from RefSeq and is a predicted model, not a curated record. NCBI's taxonomy places the organism in Eukaryota, Metazoa, Cnidaria, Anthozoa, Scleractinia, Pocilloporidae.